UACGAAGGGGGCUAGCGUUGCUCGGAAUCACUGGGCGUAAAGGGCGCGUAGGCGGCUUAUCAAGUCGGGGGUGAAAGCCCGUGGCUCAACCACGGAAUGGCCUUCGAUACUGGUAGGCGUGAGACCGGAAGAGGACAGCGGAACUGCGAGUGUAGAGGUGAAAUUCGUAGAUAUUCGCAAGAACACCAGUGGCGAAGGCGGCUGUCUGGUCCGGUUCUGACGCUGAGGCGCGAAAGCGUGGGGAGCAAACAGG
This 253-nucleotide ribosomal RNA is filed under the name uncultured bacterium. RNAcentral's name for it is "partial 16S ribosomal RNA". It matches the Rfam family "Bacterial small subunit ribosomal RNA", at positions 524 to 776 of the family's 1533-position model. The record is from RNAcentral.